This 568-nucleotide ribosomal RNA is filed under the name uncultured marine eukaryote. RNAcentral describes it as "SSU rRNA". It matches the Rfam family "Eukaryotic small subunit ribosomal RNA", at positions 617 to 1186 of the family's 1831-position model. The record is from RNAcentral.
GGUUAAAAAGCUCGUAGUUGGAUCUCGGCAAGUAGAGGGCGGUAUGCUUCGUAGCAUUACUGCCCUAUUACUUGUAGUUUUGCCAGAGGUUCCUGGGUGCUCUUAAUCGAGUGUCUAGGGAUGCUGGCAGGUUUACUUUGAAAAAAUUAGAGUGCUCAAAGCAGGCUAUUACGCUUGAAUAUUCGUGCAUGGAAUAAUAGAAUAGGAAGUUGUUUCUAUUUUGUUGGUUUUCGGAAAUCGACUUAAUGAUUAAUAGGGACAGUCGGGGGCAUUUGUAUUCAAACGACAGAGGUGAAAUUCUUGGACCGUUUGAAGACAAACCACUGCGAAAGCAUUUGCCAAGAAUGUUUUCAUUAAUCAAGAACGAAAGUUAGAGGUUCGAAGGCGAUUAGAUACCGCCCUAGUUCUAACCAUAAACGAUGCCAGCUAGCGAUCUGAGGACGUUUUUUUUGUAGACUCCUCAGGAAGCUUCCGGGAAACCAAAGCGUGUGGGUUCCGGGGGAAGUAUGGUUGCAAAGCUGAAACUUAAAGGAAUUGACCGAAGGGCACCACCAGGAGUGGAGCCUGC